AGCAGCCGCGGUAAUUCCAGCUCCAAUAGCGUAUAUUAAAGUUGUUGCAGUUAAAAAGCUCGUAGUUGAAUUUCGGGGUUAGUAGGUUGGUCAUGCCUCUGGUAUGUACUGGUCUCACUGAUUCCUCCUUCCUGAUGAGCCGUAAUGCCAUUAAUUUGGUGUUGCGGGGAAUUUGGACUGUUACUUUGAAAAAAUUAGAGUGUUUAAAGCAAGCUAACGCUUGAAUACAUUAGCAUGGAAUAAUGAAAUAGGACGUUCGAUCCUAUUUUGUUGGUUUCUAGGAUUGACGUAAUGAUUAAUAGGGAUAGUUGGGGGCAUUAGUAUUCAAUUGUCAGAGGUGAAAUUCUUGGAUUUAUUGAAGACUAACUACUGCGAAAGCAUUUGCCAAGGAUGUUUUCAUUAAUCAAGAACGAAAGUUAGGGGAUCGAAGACGAUCAGAUACCGUCCGUAGUCUUAACCAUAAACUAUGCCGACUAGGGAUCGGAUGAUGUUAAUUUUUAAUGACUCA
This 508-nucleotide ribosomal RNA is filed under the name Glomus sp. Glo8. RNAcentral describes it as "SSU rRNA". It matches the Rfam family "Eukaryotic small subunit ribosomal RNA", at positions 569 to 1078 of the family's 1831-position model. The record is from RNAcentral. Lineage: Eukaryota; Fungi; Glomeromycota; Glomeromycetes; Glomerales; Glomeraceae.